CCCAGAAACAGGAGUGCAGCAGAUGCUACUCCUUGGCCUCCCUUUGCUGAAAAUCCGCUCUGCGUGAGCUUUCUCGGUGUGUAAUUACUUGAGGAUCUAUAGAUCAGCUAGGCAGCAUCAUCUUUUAGAGGAAAUCGCAAUAAUAAGGAAAGUGUCUGGGAGUAGAAGUAGGAUGUUGUGAAGAUACAGUGGAAGGAAUUUGUGAGAAAAUAUAGUGAGGGCAAAGAGGCUCCUUUCAGCGCAGAGUAGGGAGGAUGGGGAGCAGUCACAAAGGGUCAAAGGUCUGCAAUAGCAACAAGCACUGACGAAAUUUGUUUUGCUGUAUUGUGAUUCAGAGUCAUCUUUCAGCAGUAAAGUUCUGUAAGGGAGAGUACCAGGAUGCCAGAUCCACAGCUAGCCAAAAUUGAUGACCUCCAAAUUCACAAUAUUCAGAAGGAAAUCAG
This is a long non-coding RNA of Lepidothrix coronata (blue-crowned manakin), 443 nucleotides long. RefSeq lists it as uncharacterized. The transcript is spliced from 4 exons. The record is from RefSeq and is a predicted model, not a curated record. Lineage: Eukaryota; Metazoa; Chordata; Aves; Passeriformes; Pipridae.